AAUUAACGAAUCCAUAUGCUUAAUGCUGAAUGACACAUCAAUGUGUGCACUGGCUCAGAUCAAUCGUAAUCACAACAUCCCUUCAGUAGUAUGUACAUUUGCUAAGUUUUUGUAGUGACAGAGAAUAAUAGCAUGACAUACGUACAUUCAAAACCCGACCAGUUUCCAUUGCUAUCAUGCCCAAGGGAAUUGUCACAGAUCUACUGAUCCUAAGUUACUUUGAUCCCAGCAUUAUCAACGUAGCAGACACAAGCAAAAUGGUAGAUUCUGAUUUUCCCACCUGGGUGCAUCCAUCUUGCCCGUCGAUAGGAGGAGAGCUCUUCCUUCUGCCCUGAAAACGUCGAUCCCUGGAGAAAGGACUUCCAUCCACGUCCUCACCAAAGGGACCUGUAAAAGCACAAAAACACAAGCGGGAAACAACUCAAGACCAAAGGAAACAUCAAUUUCCACCGCUCACAUCAACUUUUCUUACCAUCUCAUCGGUUGCAGAAGGAAAGCCUCGUGGCCCGUGCCGCGGCCGCGGACACUCCCUGCCCCGGCGACGAUGGCGGACGACGAGUCAGGGGCCCCGACCAGGUAGGCGUGCUGGAUGAGGUCGACGCCGGCAGGUGGGGCGGAGGGGCAGCAACGGAG
RNAcentral lists this long non-coding RNA (633 nucleotides) under Triticum aestivum (bread wheat). RNAcentral describes it as "long non-coding RNA (TAES_LNC005525)". Lineage: Eukaryota; Viridiplantae; Streptophyta; Magnoliopsida; Poales; Poaceae. The record is from RNAcentral.